GAAAGCCACGCAAGUGUUGAAAAAGUUGCACAAGGUACGAAUAAGUCACGGAAAAUACGAUUGGGCCGAUAAACCUAAGGAGUGCCAUUGGCAAAACAGUGCCUUUAGUUACGGAGAACCGAAUAAAAACCAUGAAAUAUGCACUUGGAGCAAAACAAAGGACUAACGCUCAGAAUACUUGUUAGUGAUAGUACACACGGUACACACUCUGCUCUGCAGAGUAAAUAGUACUGGAACUAAAAGUACCCAAGCACAGAUCAGGCAAACUUCAGACUGUGUCAAACUUCAGGGCAUUAUGCCCAUUCACGCAUUUGUGCUGUGUACUUCCUGUUCCAGGAAUAUAGUGAACGAUUUAACUAUGUAAUAUAUCAACUGCAGAUUCUAUCUUCUUUUGGAGACUCAACUUUACUCAUUUCAAGUGUACGGAAUAUAGUAAACCACAUAACUUCUCAUUUAAAACUGGUUUGGUGUUGCUGUUCUUGUUAAAUGAUGGAGCUGUGCAGAAUUGCAAAGAAGACACUGACAGUAGCGUGAAGGGACCAAAGCACCAGUACUGGGUUAGAAGUAUAUGGCAGGAUAAAGAAAAUCAGAAACCACAGGGCUCAUUUAUUGAAGGCAUUCACUACUGUCAGGUGCAAAGAAUCAAAGAAUUUUGAAACAAAGCAGAGCGAUUGUUGGUAUGACUAUCGAGAUAUUUAGUUUAGGACUGGUACAUAUGGAAAAGGAUGUGGAGUCUUAACAAGGUUAAUCAAAGGUUUACCAAAAAGCCAAUUUAUUAUGGCCGGAUGUAUUGUAUCUAACGGUGAGUUGUAUGAACUUAAAAUUGUCCAGAAAUUCAAACAGAAAUGAUACUGUGAGGCAGAGCUUCUAAAAACUAGAGAUAAAGUUGGACAAAUUCCCAGAGAGGAAUUGCUGGUGAGACGUAAAAGAGGCAUAGACAGAACACAGUGGUUAGCCUUUGUAAGUGUAUAUAAUGGCAACUCUAAAACCGUGAGGCAUACCAUCCUUAAAUACUGGGGGAUCUUGAGAGUGGACCCUAAGUAUGGCAAAUUAUUUGGUAAACCCCCUGUUUUUUCCUAUAAAAAGGGCAAAACAGUAGGUAAUCUGAUUAAACCAUACAAGGCUAACCAGCAUACAGUAUGAGACAGUUUGGUAAUUCAAAAGGGACGUAUCCAUGUUACAAUU
Molecule: long non-coding RNA, 1185 nt
Organism: Xenopus tropicalis (tropical clawed frog)
Lineage: Eukaryota; Metazoa; Chordata; Amphibia; Anura; Pipidae
Exons: 4
Source: RefSeq, a predicted model, not a curated record